This 424-nucleotide ribosomal RNA is filed under the name Verrucomicrobiota bacterium. Its description in RNAcentral is "Verrucomicrobia bacterium partial 16S ribosomal RNA". It matches the Rfam family "Bacterial small subunit ribosomal RNA", at positions 355 to 776 of the family's 1533-position model. The record is from RNAcentral. Lineage: Bacteria; Pseudomonadati; Verrucomicrobiota.
UGAGGAAUAUUGGUCAAUGGACGAGAGUCUGAACCAGCCAAGUUGCGUGCAGGAUGACGGCCCUAUGGGUUGUAAAUUGCUUUUGUUUGGGAAUAAUCGACAUUACGUGUAAUGUUUUGCAUGUACCAUUCGAAUAAGGACCGGCUAAUUCCGUUCCAGCAGCCGCGGUAAUACGGAAGGUCCAGGCGUUAUCCGGAUUUAUUGGGUUUAAAGGGAGUGUAGGCGGUUGGUUAAGCGUGUUGUGAAAUGUAGAUGCUCAACAUCUGACUUGCAGCGCGAACUGGCUGACUUGAGUACGCACAACGUAGGCGGAAUUCAUGGUGUAGCGGUGAAAUGCUUAGAUAACAUGAAGAACUCCGAUGGCGAAGGCAGCUUACGGGAGUGUUACUGACGCUUAAGCUCGAAGGUGCGGGUAUCGAACAGG